AACUUACUGUUAUUUAUAACUCGCCUUACACAUGCAAGUAUCCGCAACCCCGUGCCACACAGGCCCCCCCCCCUCUACCCCACUAGAGCCGGAGCAGGCAUCAGGCACCACAUUUUGCCCAAGACGCCUAGCCAUGCCACACCCCCACGGACUUCAGCAGUGAUAGACAUUAAGCCAUGGGCCUAAGCCCGACUUAGCCAGAGUUGCCCCGAGCCGGUAAACUCCGUGCCAGCCACCGCGGUUAUACGACGGGCUCAAAAUAACUUCUGCCGGCGUAAAACGUGACUAGAACCAACCUUAUAACUUGAAGCUAAAACCACACCGUAGAUGUAAAAUUCACACAACAAAAUAAACCCCACCAAGCUCCAACUUCCAAGCAGCUUUGACUUCACGAAACCCGAGACCCAAACUAGGAUUAGAUACCCUACUAUGCUCGGCCGUAAAACUAGAUUAACCCUUUCCCCAACCCCACCAUCCGCCAGAGGACUACAAGCAAAAACUUGAAACUCAAAGGACUUGACGGUGCCCUACACCGACCUAGAGGAGCCUGUCCUAUAACCGAUACUCCACGUUUAACCUCACCCUUUUUCGCACUUCAGCCUAUAUACCGCCGUCGUCAGCCUACCUGCCAAAAGAACAAAAGUAUGCACAACAGGCCCCCCCCUAAUACGUCAGGUCGAGGUGUAGCCAAUAAAAGGGCAGAGAUGGGCUACAUUUUCUAUCUUUUUCACCAGAAAACACCCUAGGCUGCAUGCAAACCUACACCGACAGACGGAUUUAGCAGUAAAUACAGGACAAGAAAAUGCCCUAUUGAAACCCGCUCUAGGGCGCGCACACACCGCCCGUCACCCUCCUCACACACCUCAAACACAAAUUCAUAAACUUCCCC
RNAcentral lists this ribosomal RNA (889 nucleotides) under Gymnodactylus geckoides. RNAcentral describes it as "partial 12S ribosomal RNA". It matches the Rfam family "Bacterial small subunit ribosomal RNA". Lineage: Eukaryota; Metazoa; Chordata; Lepidosauria; Squamata; Gekkonidae. The record is from RNAcentral.